Molecule: ribosomal RNA, 520 nt
Filed under: uncultured Glomus
Lineage: Eukaryota; Fungi; Glomeromycota; Glomeromycetes; Glomerales; Glomeraceae
Description: SSU rRNA
Rfam family: Eukaryotic small subunit ribosomal RNA
Source: RNAcentral
AGCAGCCGCGGUAAUUCCAGCUCCAAUAGCGUAUAUUAAAGUUGUUGCAGUUAAAAGCUCGUAGUUGAAUUUCGGGAUCAAAUUGUCGGUCGUGCCUCGGUACGUACUGGUAUUAUUGGUUCCUCCCUUCUGACGAACCACGAUGUCAUUAAUUUGGUGUCAUGGGAAAUCAGGACUGUUACUUUGAAAAAAUUAGAGUGUUUAAAGCAGGCUCGCGCUUGAAUACAUUAGCAUGGAAUAAUGAAAUAGGACGUUUGAUUCUAUUUUGUUGGUUUCUAGGAUCGACGUAAUGAUUAAUAGGGAUAGUUGGGGGGCAUUAGUAUUCAAUUGUCAGAGGUGAAAUUCUUGGAUUUAUUGAAGACUAACUACUGCGAAAGCAUUUUGCCAAGGAUGUUUUCAUUAAUCAAGAACGAAAGUUAGGGGAUCGAAGACGAUCAGAUACCGUCAUAGUCUUAACCAUAAACUAUGCCGACUAGGGAUCGGAUGAUGUUAAUUUUUUAAUGACUCAUUCGGCGCCUUA